RNAcentral lists this unclassified non-coding RNA (325 nucleotides) under uncultured fungus. RNAcentral's name for it is "sequence contains ITS2". The record is from RNAcentral. Lineage: Eukaryota; Fungi.
AACGCAUCUUGCACUCCUUGGUAUUCUGAGGAGCAUGCCUGUUUGAGUGUCAUAAUUAUUAUCAACUGCUUUGGUUUUAUCAAAGUGAAGUUGGAUUAGUGAAGGAGUGCAGGCAAUUAUAUGUUUGCUCCUUUAAAAUAUAUUUAAGGACUGUAUCUUGGAUGAAGCAUUAAAAACUUAUUAAUGCUUAGUGAAAAGAUCAUCAAUAUGAUAAAUUACUAUAUUGUUGAUAAACAUCAUUAUUAUACAUCCAAGCUUUUGUCUAUAUAAGUAAUUAUAUAUAAUAUUUGACCUCAAAUCAGGUAGGACUACCCGCUGAACUUAA